AGUGGCGGGUGCUACCAUGCAAGUCGAGCGGAGAUUAUAGCAAUAUAAUCUUAGCGGCGGACGGGUGAGUAACGCGUGGGCAACCUGCCUUUCACAGGGGGAUAACACAGGGAAACUUGUGCUAAUACCGCAUAAGAUCAUAGGAGGACAUCCUCCAGUGACCAAAGGAGCAAUCCGGUGAGAGAUGGGCCCGCGUCCAAUUAGCUAGUUGGUGGUGUAACGGACCACCAAGGCGACGAUUGGUAGCCGAACUGAGAGGUUGAUCGGCCACAUUGGGACUGAGAUACGGCCCAGACUCCUACGGGAGGCAGCAGUGGGGAAUAUUGCGCAAUGGGGGGAACCCUGACGCAGCAACGCCGCGUGAAGGAUGAAGGUUUUCGGAUUGUAAACUUCUUUGAUGAGGGACGAAAGAAAUGACGGUACCUCAAAAACAAGCCACGGCUAACUACGUGCCAGCAGCCGCGGUAAUACGUAGGUGGCGAGCGUUGUCCGGAAUUACUGGGUGUAAAGGGCGUGUAGGCGGGAAUGCAAGUCAGAUGUGAAAUACCGUGGCUUAACCACGGAGCUGCAUCUGAAACUGUGUUUCUUGAGUGUCGGAGAGGAAAGUGGAAUUCCCAGUGUAGCGGUGAAAUGCGUAGAUAUUGGGAGGAACACCAGUGGCGAAGGCGACUUUCUGGACGAUAACUGACGCUGAGGCGCGAAAGCGUGGGGAGCAAACAGGAUUAGAUACCCUGGUAGUCCACGCCGUAAACGAUGGAUACUAUGUGUAGGAGGUAUCGACCCCUUCUGUGCCGCAGUUAACACAUAAGUAUCCCACCUG
Molecule: ribosomal RNA, 820 nt
Filed under: uncultured bacterium
Lineage: Bacteria
Description: bacterial SSU rRNA
Rfam family: Bacterial small subunit ribosomal RNA
Source: RNAcentral